Molecule: ribosomal RNA, 622 nt
Filed under: uncultured archaeon
Lineage: Archaea
Description: bacterial SSU rRNA
Rfam family: Archaeal small subunit ribosomal RNA
Source: RNAcentral
UAAUGCUCCAUAGUGGAUAUGUCCUGGAAUGGUAUAUCCUCGAAAGAUCCGUCGCCUUAGGAUGGGACUGCGUCCGAUUAGGUUGUUGGCGGGGUAACGGCCCACCAAGCCAUUGAUCGGUACGGGUUGUGGGAGCAAGAUCCCGGAGAUGGAUUCUGAGACAUGAAUCCAGGCCCUACGGGGCGCAGCAGGCGCGCAAACUUUACAAUGCGAGCAGUCGUGAUAAGGAAACCCUGAGUGCCUGUCGAUGCAGGCUGUUCAUAUAUCUAAAUCAUAUGUGAAGAAAGGGCAGGGCAAGACCGGUGCCAGCCGCCGCGGUAAUACCGGCUGCUCGAGUGAUGGCCACUAUUACUGGGUUUAAAGCGUCCGUAGCUUGACUGUUAGGUCUCUUGGGAAAUCUUCACGCUCAACGUGAAGGCGUCUAAGAGAUACCGGCAGUCUUGGAACUGGGAGAGGUAAACCGUACUUCGGGGGUAGGAGUGAAAUCUUGUAAUCCUCGAGGGACGACCUAUGGCGAAGGCAGUUUACCAGAACAGCUUCGACAGUGAGGGACGAAAGCUGGGGGAGCAAACGGGAUUAGAUACCCCGGUAGUCCCAGCCGUAAACAAUGUGCGUUAGGUGU